GGGGGUAGAGCACUGUUUCGGCUAGGGGGUCAUCCCGACUUACCAACCCGAUGCAAACUACGAAUACCGAAGAAUGUUAUCACGGGAGACACACGGCGGGUGCUAACGUCCGUCGUGAAGAGGGAAACAACCCAGACCGCCAGCUAAGGUCCCAAAGUCACAGUUAAGUGGGAAACGAUGUGGGAAGGCACAGACAGCCAGGAUGUUGGCUUAGAAGCAGCCAUCAUUUAAAGAAAGCGUAAUAGCUCACUGGUCGAGUCGGCCUGCGCGGAAGAUGUAACGGGGCUAAACUGUGCACCGAAGCUGCGGCAGCGACACUAUGUGUUGUUGGGUAGGGGAGCGUUCUGUAAGCCUGCGAAGGUGGCCUGUGAGGGUUGCUGGAGGUAUCAGAAGUGCGAAUGCUGACAUAAGUAACGAUAAUGCGGGUGAAAAGCCCGCACGCCGGAAGACCAAGGGUUCCUGUCCAACGUUAAUCGGGGCAGGGUGAGUCGACCCCUAAGGCGAGGCCGAAAGGCGUAGUCGAUGGGAAACAGGUUAAUAUUCCUGUACUUGGUGUUACUGCGAAGGGGGGACGGAGAAGGCUAUGUUAGCCGGGCGACGGUUGUCCCGGUUUAAGCAUGUAGGCGGAGGUUCCAGGUAAAUCCGGUACCUUUUUAACGCUGAGGUGUGAUGACGAGGCACUACGGUGCUGAAGUAACAAAUGCCCUGCUUCCAGGAAAAGCCUCUAAGCAUCAGGUAACAUUGAAUCGUACCCCAAACCGACACAGGUGGUCAGGUAGAGAAUACCAAGGCGCUUGAGAGAACUCGGGUGAAGGAACUAGGCAAAAUGGUGCCGUAACUUCGGGAGAAGGCACGCUGAUAUGUAGGUGAAGCCCCUGCGGGUGGAGCUGA
RNAcentral lists this ribosomal RNA (891 nucleotides) under Klebsiella aerogenes. RNAcentral's name for it is "partial 23S ribosomal RNA". It matches the Rfam family "Bacterial large subunit ribosomal RNA", at positions 898 to 1785 of the family's 2925-position model. Lineage: Bacteria; Pseudomonadati; Pseudomonadota; Gammaproteobacteria; Enterobacterales; Enterobacteriaceae. The record is from RNAcentral.